UACGUAGGGUCCGAGCGUUGUCCGGAAUUAUUGGGCGUAAAGGGCUCGUAGGCGGUUCGUCACGUCGGGAGUGAAAACUCGGAGCUCAACUCCGAGCCUGCUUCCGAUACGGGCAGACUAGAGGUAGGCAGGGGAGAGCGGAACUCCUGGUGUAGCGGUGGAAUGCGCAGAUAUCAGGAAGAACACCGGUGGCGAAGGCGGCUCUCGUGGGCCUACCUGACGCUGAGGAGCGAAAGCGUGGGGAGCGAACAGG
This 253-nucleotide ribosomal RNA is filed under the name uncultured bacterium. RNAcentral's name for it is "partial 16S ribosomal RNA". It matches the Rfam family "Bacterial small subunit ribosomal RNA", at positions 524 to 776 of the family's 1533-position model. The record is from RNAcentral.